RNAcentral lists this transfer RNA (71 nucleotides) under Rhynochetos jubatus (kagu). It matches the Rfam family "tRNA". Rfam says of the family: Transfer RNA (tRNA) molecules are approximately 80 nucleotides in length. Their secondary structure includes four short double-helical elements and three loops (D, anti-codon, and T loops). The record is from Rfam by way of RNAcentral. Lineage: Eukaryota; Metazoa; Chordata; Aves; Eurypygiformes; Rhynochetidae.
CAGAAGAUAGUUUAAGGUUAAAAUAUCAGCUUUGGGAGCUGAGGAUAGAGGUUUGAAUCCUCUUUUUCUGA